Molecule: non-coding RNA, 84 nt
Organism: Colletotrichum higginsianum
Lineage: Eukaryota; Fungi; Ascomycota; Sordariomycetes; Glomerellales; Glomerellaceae
Source: Rfam
GCCCCUUUGGCUCAGUGGUAGAGCGUCGCACUCGUACUCUUGCACAACAUGCGAAGGUCCACGGUUCAAUCCCGUGAGAGGGCA